This is a long non-coding RNA of Gopherus flavomarginatus (Mexican gopher tortoise), 4550 nucleotides long. RefSeq lists it as uncharacterized. The record is from RefSeq and is a predicted model, not a curated record. Lineage: Eukaryota; Metazoa; Chordata; Testudines; Testudinidae. The transcript has 2 exons.
AAAAGUUUGAGAAAACUGCUGUAAAGGGAACAGAGCACAGUCAACCUGCGUAACUCUUUGCCAAAGGUAGCUGUGAAGGUAAGAUUAUACCAGGGUUCAAAAAGAACUAGAUCAGAUCAUGGAGGAUAGGUCCAUCAGUGGCUAUAUUAGCUAGGAUGGGCAGGGAUGCAAAACCAUGCUCUGAAGUGUCCCAGCCUCUGCCAGAAGCUGGGAAUGGGUGAUGGGAUGGAUCACUUGAUGAUUCCCUGUUCUGUUCAUUCCCUCGGGGGCACCUGGAACUGGCCACUGUCAGACAGGAAACUGGGCUAGAUGGACCUUUGAUCUGACCUGGUGUGGCCGUUCUUAUGUUCUAACAGGGAUGAGUAAUGAGACUAGGAAUUGGUAAAGGAAUGGGCGAUAUUGAAAAAAGGGAGGGAGUUGAAGAACGAACCAGUUAGCAAGGAGAAAAGAGUGUCAGAAAUCAACACCUAAGAAAAUGGUCUGUCCAAAAGUUCCAGAGGCCCUAUUGAUGCUCACGCUGCAUUGCCCCCCGGUGCUGUUGGGGAGAGGAGGAGUCUUUUGGCUGGACUUUGUCUCCCCCAGACCUGGGGGUGGGAGGGGGCCUCCCUGUCGGUCCAGGAUGGUUGUGGGGGGGAGCCCCAGCUACUGCUAAUCGUGUUUGCACCAAGAAGGGGAUAGGUGCACAAUAGUGAAAUAGUAUGUCAUCGUAUAAGCCAGUGAGAUGCUUCCAUUGCUCAGUUCUGGUCCCCCAUCUCAGAUGGGAUCUAGCAGAUAUAGUGAGGAGGCCUAGAGAAAGGCAGUGACACUACUUAGAGGCCUGAAGAGCAUGAAAAGAUUAGGACUGUUUUAGGUUAGAAAUGAGAUAGGGCAUACACAGGAAACAAAACAAUGAAUGAGAUAAAGAAGGGAGAUGGGGCACUUGCAUUAACCCUGGCUCGUAAUUCAAGAAAAGGGGGGAGACAUUCAGUGACAUUGAAAGGCAGCAAAUUUAAAACUAGUAAGAGGAAAUGCUUUUUCUUAUGUCAGUCUGUGGAACUCUCUGCCACUGGAUACAAAGGCCAAGAGCUUAUCUGAUUUCAGAUAAGGAUCAGAUGUUAAUAUGGAUAAUAAGAAGUGAUGAAUACGGUGAUAGAUGCUAUAACAUUCUCUAGGUCACAGAACCUCCCAACAGAUGUAUGUAGGCUGAAACGAGCACUUGCACUAUAACUGCACUCCAUGUGAAAGUAUCUACAUACCUACAGGGCACGUAGUGCUUUCACACACUGCUCUUAUAAUAGCUAUGUUGUCACAGGCUGGUGUGGAUGGAUGCACAGGCGUGGAGGUGCUGACUCUUGUCAUUUUAGAAUACAUUUUAGGUAAAGCUGAUGGUGAUACCUAGAGUUAAGGUUGCCCAGCAUACUUCCUAUUAUAAGAUCUUGUUUUCUGUUGCUUCUAACUUUGCCAAACGUUAACCAUUUGGGCUGAAUUUCUCCAUACCAGGUGUCUACCUCAGCUGAAUUUUACUGGAAAAUUACAGCAAAAAUGGCUUUUCUGAGGAGGAAAAAUUGGCUGUUUUGCCCAUGUUACAACAAAUUCUUGCAGCUGAUUUCUUGAGAAGCUCUCGCACGUCCAUGUUUUGAAGCAGGAACUUGAAAUUUGAGAGAGGGUUUGCCUUGGGGAUAGAGAUGUACCUUUUACUUCCUUGUGGGAAAAACAGCCCACGUUUGGUCAAGGUACAAGCCUAUGAAAAAAAUCUGAGUCUGCGUAUGCCCAAUAGCCUUGUUAGAGCUUUGCAGCUAAAUUCUCUGAAGAUUUUGCUCCAACAGAGAUACUGGGGCUGAUAAGGACUUCUCUGCAAUUGCUGCUCCAGGUUCCAGCAGCACUGGCAUGAGAACGGACAGCAGGGAGACUUGUGUUCUGUGCCCUCAGUGCACCCAGUGCUGUGCCCAGGCAGCAUGGAGGAGGAGGAAAACUGAAAUGCAGAGUGGACAAGAGCUGGAUGGGGAAAGACUGGGAUAAGGAACAUGGAUGAGAGGGGAAGACAGUUUGGAAGCUGGGGAGAUAUUAGGACUGGCUGGGCAAGGGGACUGGGAUGCAGAUGGUAAUUUCAGAAGGGAGCCUGAGAUAGGCUCGAAGGAGACUGAACAUGGGAUGAAGGGGUAGAAUUGGGAAGAAGAUCCGGGGGAAGGAGAAGACAGAACGAGAAGUUUAGGGUGGAGACAGGGUUGGCACAGGAUCAAGCUGGAGGUGGCAAAGGUAGAAGGGGUGUUGUAUUAAUUCAGAUGGAAUAAAUGGCCCAGAGGUGUUGAGCGAGUCCCUGUCCAAUAUUAAACUGUUACAACGAGAUUUGGGGUUUAGUAGACAGACACCACAGCUUGCUUAGUACUGCUGCAAACACACUAAUAAAGAGUUAACAUGAAUUUUCAUAAAGACACAGAAAAGAAGGAAAAGCAAUUAAAGGCUUUGAAAUGUAAAGUAUUAAAUAAGGCCUCCAUUUAAACAACAUUUCUUAUUGCCUUUCCCUUGAGCUGGAGAGAGAUUUUUAGAAGGAAACCCCCCCUUGUUUUACAGGCUGACAAAGACAUGAGUUGAGAUGAGCAGGCGUUGUUGUAGCUGCUGCUGUUAAAGUCUGAUCCCCUUUCGUGUCAGGUGGUGGUUGGGGUUAGCUGGAGCCAGUAGAGGUGGCAAUGUUAUCUGAAUCUUGCUUUCUGGCCCAGUCUGGUCAGAUCAUCUCCUAGGAUUAGGACAAAGAAGAUCUGGAGUGCAAGGAGCUGUAGACACUGACAGCAAUGAUGGUGAAGUUGUUUCAGUUGCUUCCAUCUGUUUUUCCUCUUCCCCCUCUCCCCACGAAUCUCUUUAAGACCUAAAAAGGGAGUGAUGGGUGGAUAGCCCACCCCUUUAUUAUUUUGUCCACCAAUUAGGCCUAAUAGCCAAUACAGCCAUUUUUGGUCAUUAAUUUCUGGUUCCACAUCUUCUGUUUUUACCAAGCAUGAUUUUAACGUAGUCCUUGAGUUGUAUCAACUUGACCUUUUUGUUUGCAUUAAUUUAGUGUGUCUGCCUGGUUUUCUUGCACCUGGUUAUAACACUCAGAAUUGAAAGCAACUUGACCUAUUUUCCAAUAACAUUUGUUCUUACAGGUUAUUGUAUUUGAUAAAUGUUACAGACUUUUUAUAGUUGAGCUCACAAUUAGGAUACAUUUGUCAACCCAAUUAUUACAACAGGGGUCAGGCUUGGGACCAAAGGGGCAGAAGGGCCCGUGACUGUUGGAAUCACUUUCCCAUCAAAACCGGGAAUGGAGUCCAAGAUUCCUGAGUCUCAAAAUUCUUCUGCUCUCAGCAAAUGUCUGUGAAAUGCACGGGCAAGACUGAUAACAUACAAAAAUUCUAUAUUCAACAUUAUCCUAACCGAUAAAAAGGACCUAAUCACAGAAUUAAAAAUUAAUGGUAGCUUAAGUACAAAUGAUCAUGACUUGAUCACAUUUCUAGUUUGCAAGCAGAACGAAGUCCAGGAGCAAUAAUAUAUUGAGGCUUUAAUAGGGCCAAUUUCACAAAGCUGAAAAUAAUUAAGCCAAAUCAGCUGUGAGGAAAAAUUUAAUCAGAAAAAUGUCAAUGAUAAUUGGCAGUCAUUUAAGACCACAUUACUAGCUGCCCAAAAAGCCACAAUUGAGGAAGAAGGCUUUGCCGGUUUAAAAAAAACAAAACGGUUUAGAGAGAAAGUGAAAGCAGCUGUAAAAAGGUGUGUGUGUGUGUGUAAGCGUAAAUGGAAGAAAGGGUAAGUAGUUACUAUAAAUCAGAAGUUAGGAAUUGUAGAACGUUGAUAAGGAGAGCCAAGGGUAUAAGGAGAAAUCUAUGGCCAGCAGAGUUAAGGACAAUAAGGAGUUUUUAAAAAUAAACUAGGCACAAAGUGAAUCCUGAUAAUGAUAUUGUCCAUUACUAGAUGGAAAUAGUAGAAUUAUCAAUAAUAAUACAGAAAAGGCUGAAGUGUUCAAUAAAUAUUUCUGUUCUUUAUGGGGGGAGGGGAGGAGAAACAGAUGAUGCAGGCUCAUCAUAUGGUGAUAACAUACUUUCCAUUCUAGUCUCGCUGGAUGGUGUUAAACAGCAGUUACUAAAAUCAGACAUUUUUAAAUCAGACCCAGAUAACUUGCAUCCUAGAGUUUUAAAAGAGCUGACUGAGGAGCUUGCUGGACUAUUAAUGUUGAUUUUCAACAAGCGUUGGAGAAGUUCUGGGAGACUGGAAGAAACCUGAAGUUGUGCUAAUUUUUAAAAAGGUUAAAUGUGAUGAUGCAGGUAUUUACAGGCCUGUCAGCCUGAUAUCAAUCCCAGGCAAGAUAAUGGAGGGCUGAUAUGGACUUGAUUAAUAAGAACUAAAAGAAGAUAAUGUAAUUAAUAUAAAUCAACAUGCAUUUAUGGAAAAUCAAUCCUAUCAAACUACCUUGAUCUCUUUUUUAAAAAUGAGAUCACACAAGUUUGGUUGAUAAAGGUAAUAUGGUUGAUGUAACAUACUUCUGUAAGGUGUAUGACUAGUUAUGACACAAUGUUUUGAUUAAAAAAAAUAGAAUGAUGUAAAAUUAA